UACGUAGGGUGCAAGCGUUGUCCGGAAUUAUUGGGCGUAAAGAGCUCGUAGGUGGUCUGUCGCGUCUGCUGUGAAAACUCAGGGCUUAACCCUGAGCUUGCAGUGGGUACGGGCAGACUAGAGUGCGGUAGGGGGAGACUGGAAUUCCUGGUGUAGCGGUGAAAUGCGCAGAUAUCAGGAGGGAACACCGGUGGCGAAGGCGGG
RNAcentral lists this ribosomal RNA (204 nucleotides) under uncultured bacterium. RNAcentral describes it as "partial 16S ribosomal RNA". It matches the Rfam family "Bacterial small subunit ribosomal RNA", at positions 524 to 725 of the family's 1533-position model. The record is from RNAcentral.